This 775-nucleotide ribosomal RNA is filed under the name uncultured Neocallimastigales. RNAcentral's name for it is "partial large subunit ribosomal RNA". It matches the Rfam family "Eukaryotic large subunit ribosomal RNA", at positions 22 to 635 of the family's 3401-position model. Lineage: Eukaryota; Fungi; Neocallimastigomycota; Neocallimastigomycetes; Neocallimastigales. The record is from RNAcentral.
GUACACGCUGUGACUAGCAUAUCAAUAAGCGGAGGAAAAGAAACUAACAAGGAUUCCCCUAGUAACGGCGAGUGAAGCGGGAAGAGCUCAAAUUUGAAAUCUUAAAGGGUUUCCCUUUACGAAUUGUAGUUUAAAGAAGUGUUUUCUGUUGAGGUUUUGGUAAAAGUUCUUUGGAAUAGGACAUCAUAGAGGGUGAGAAUCCCGUAUUUGACCUUUACUUUCAACUUUGUGAUACACUUUCGAAGAGUCGGAUUGUUUGGGAAUGCAGUCCAAAAUGGGUGGUAAAUUUCAUCUAAAGCUAAAUAUUGGCGAGAGACCGAUAGCGAACAAGUACCGUGAGGGAAAGAUGAAAAGAACUUUGAAAAGAGAGUUAAACAGUACGUGAAAUUGUCAAAAGGGAAGCGUUUGACACCAGUGUUGUUUUUCUGAAAAUCAAUUAAAGAACUGUUUAUGCUAAGCUGUUUAGACUUUAUCAGCUAUCUGUUUAGUCUUGAGCUUUUCUUUAAUGCACUUUUCAGUUAACAAGUCAACAUCAAUUUCUUUUGCUGUAAAAAAUGCUUGAGGAAGGUGGCUUGAGAUUCGUCUUAAGUGUUUAUAGCCUCUUGCCUAUGCAGUCGGAGAGAUUGAGGUCUGCAGCGUAGAUCCUUCGGGGCUAAAUGCAUUUGUGCUAAGUUAUAGCAUUUUAUAGACAACUUGUUGACUAUGAUUUGUCUUGUAGCUUACUCGCUUAUGUUAUUUUACCUACGCUUAGGAUGUUGAAGAUGUAGCACAUCAU